Long non-coding RNA from Hippocampus comes (tiger tail seahorse), 1616 nucleotides. RefSeq lists it as uncharacterized. The record is from RefSeq and is a predicted model, not a curated record. The transcript has 3 exons. NCBI's taxonomy places the organism in Eukaryota, Metazoa, Chordata, Actinopteri, Syngnathiformes, Syngnathidae.
UCAUGACAUUUCGAAUCCCAACACCACAUGACUGGGGGGGGGCCUUUUGCGGCCACCAUAGCAGACGACGCCACAAGCCACUUUCUAAAUCAAGUCAAGUGGCGUUCAGAUUCACGUCAGCGUCUUCUCCCUUCCCCAUCUGCACCUCACUCGAGAUUACACGGAUAGCGCCUAUACCGAUCGUCUGGAGCAGGCAUUUUCAUUCACUACUCAAGCUCCGCCCCCCCCCGUCGCCAUCCCUUCCUUGAGAAUUUUCAACUCCAUCGUCACGGAAAAAAACAUUACAGGGGAAAACAUGACAAAAAAAGCGGCAUGUCAAGUGGUUUUUCGAGGGCCGCGGGCGCGUGUACAAUAUUCAGCAUGCACUUGUUGACUCAUUUUUCCCACCCGUCCGAAUUAUUACCUGAGUUUUCAAGACGGGCGUAUUUUUUCCUGAGGUGAGCCGACAAGCGCAUUAAAAAAAAAAAACAACUUAUAAAAGGAGAGGUAUUUCGAAAGAGACAUAUAAUGUGUGUGUGUGUGUGUGUGUGAGACAUACUGUAUGUUAUUGAUGCCCUGUAAAAUAUUCGUAAAAGGGAUGGGCAUUGGAAUUGAUAGACGGUCAUGGAAAAUGAAGGAUAAUUCAUUCAAUUUAAUCAUUUUAAUUGACUUGAACGAUGGGAGAAUGUUUUGGGAAUGUUCUGAACUCCUAUUUCUAUUCAGGUCUCUCCUAGGCGUGGAUGUGGGCCCUGAGGAAAAUGUCCCGUUUCACUCCAUUUUGACACAGUUACUCAAUUCCAGCCAAUGCAGUCCAGGGUUCAGCAAGCUUUUUGAAACGAAGCGCUCCUUCUUGGCUCCCCGAUGAACGGGGAGGGCGAGCGCUUCGAUAGGAUGCGCUUUUGAAAGAAACUGGCUCGAGCUACCUUCGUACGUUCUAAUUCAUGCUAUUCAUUUCGGAGAAGACACCGGUCGCCUUAGCGAUUUCGCACAAUAAUUACCAAACGGAUCAAUUGGCCCCACUUGAUGAUAAAUAGCUGCCGGACGUUCACAUUUUGAAAAAAAAGAUGGCUUCGACAAGAUUCCCGGGGAGUCACGGUCUCUCCUAUUUUUGGAAGAGGCGCGCGGGCUACUCAUGUGUGGUCCUUGAUGGCUCCCCGGUGCCCGCGCUCACCCCGUCGGUGACCCCCGACCUAGUCCGCGCCCGGCCGGGACCGUCGACUGCGCCGAACGCUAAUCGAAGGGCACCGAUCGAGUUCCCCUGGCCGUUGGAAGGCCGACUUGAGAAUUCCGGAUGCAAAUAAAUACGUAGCGUGAUUCGUUUUCUCUCUCUAACACAACAAAGAAUAAUUUGACAUAUACAUAUAUAUUAAGUGGGGUCUCCUGUAAAACGGGAGUAUAGCGCCGGCUGAUUUAGCUAGCUAGUUCUACAUACGGGCUCCUCCGCGCAGGUUUGGCCGUUUCCGGCACCGAUGACCCUACACUUGGGAGGGCGGCGUCGUCUUCGAUAACGAUCGCUUCGGAUCUUUGCGCGCGCGUUGGGUUCGGCACGCUAACAAACGGAGUAGCCGAUAGCGUGGCGCGUUCUGGAACAUCCUCGCUCACCGCGACGGAGGUACCGUCGGGGGUGCCGCUUGGCG